RNAcentral lists this ribosomal RNA (446 nucleotides) under uncultured bacterium. RNAcentral describes it as "partial 16S ribosomal RNA". It matches the Rfam family "Bacterial small subunit ribosomal RNA", at positions 338 to 795 of the family's 1533-position model. The record is from RNAcentral.
CCUACGGGAGACUGCAGUCGAGAAUCAUUCACAAUGGGGGAAACCCUGAUGGUGCGACGCCGCGUGGGGGAAUGAAGGUCUUCGGAUUGUAAACCCCUGUCAUGUGGGAGCAAAUUAAAAAGAUAGUACCACAAGAGGAAGAGACGGCUAACUCUGUGCCAGCAGCCGCGGUAAUACAGAGGUCUCAAGCGUUGUUCGGAAUCACUGGGCGUAAGGCGUGCGUAGGCUGUUUCGUAAGUCGUGUGUGAAAGGCGCGGGCUCAACCCGCGGACGGCACAUGAUACUGCGAGACUAGAGUAAUGGAGGGGGAACCGGAAUGCUCGGUGUAGCAGGGAAAUGCGUAGAUAUCGAGAGGAACACUCGUGGCGAAGGCGGGUUCCUGGACAUUAACUGACGCUGAGGCACGAAGGCCAGGGGAGCGAAAGGGAUUAGAUACCCUAGUAGUC